This 484-nucleotide ribosomal RNA is filed under the name uncultured bacterium. RNAcentral's name for it is "partial 16S ribosomal RNA". It matches the Rfam family "Bacterial small subunit ribosomal RNA", at positions 30 to 507 of the family's 1533-position model. The record is from RNAcentral.
AUUGAACGCUGGCGGCAUGCCUAACACAUGCAAGUCGAGCGGAAGAAGGGUGCUUGCUCCUGGAUUCAGCGGCGGACGGGUGAGUAAUGCGUAGGAAUUUUCCUGUUAGUUUCGGAUAACGUCUGGAAACGUGCGCUAAUACCGCAUACGUCGUGAGGUAGAAAGUGGGGGAUGUUCGGACUUCUCGCUAUCGGAUGAGCCUAGGGCGGAUCAGCUAGUUGGUGGGGUAAAGGCCUACCAAGGCGACGAUGCGUAACUGGUCUGAGAGGAUGAUCAGUCACACUGGAACUGAGACACGGUCCAGACUCCUACGGGAGGCAGCAGUGGCGAAUAUUGGAAGCUGGGGGAAAGCCUGAUCCAGCGAUGCCGCGUGUGUGAAGAAGGUCUUCGGAUUGUAAAGCACCUUUAGUUGGGAGGACGCCCAGUAAGUUAAUACCAUGCUGUUUUGACGUUACCAACAGAAUAAGCACCGGCUAACUUCGUG